CCUACGGGAGGCAGCAGUGAGGAAUAUUGGUCAAUGGACGCAAGUCUGAACCAGCCAUGCCGCGUGCAGGAAGACGGCUCUAUGGGUUGUAAACUGCUUUUGUACGAGGGUAAACGCAGAUACGUGUAUCUGUCUGAAAGUAUCGUACGCAUAAGGAUCGGCUAAUUCCGUGCCAGCAGCCGCGGUAAUACGGAGGAUACAAGCGUUAGCCGGAUUUAUUGGGUUUAAAGGGUGCGUAGGUGGGCGGAUAAGUUAGAGGUGAAAUCCCGAGGCUCAACCUGGGAAUUGCAUCUGAUACUGUUCGGCUAGAGAGUAGUUGCGGGAGGCGGAAUGUAUGGUGUAGCAGUGAAAUGCUUAGAGAUCAUACAGAACACCGAUUGCGAAGGCAGCUUACCAAGCUACUUCUGACGUUGAGGCACGAAAGCGUGGGGAGCAAACAGGAUUAGAUACCCCGGUAGUC
RNAcentral lists this ribosomal RNA (460 nucleotides) under uncultured bacterium. RNAcentral's name for it is "partial 16S ribosomal RNA". It matches the Rfam family "Bacterial small subunit ribosomal RNA", at positions 338 to 795 of the family's 1533-position model. The record is from RNAcentral.